This 1368-nucleotide ribosomal RNA is filed under the name Kamalia tattakana. RNAcentral's name for it is "16S ribosomal RNA". Lineage: Eukaryota; Metazoa; Arthropoda; Insecta; Lepidoptera; Notodontidae. The record is from RNAcentral.
GGGGAUAAAUUAAUAAGGGGUAAUAGUUAAUAAAAGAAAUUUUAAUAUUAAAAUACCAUAAUGGGGGUUAUAGUAUUUUGAUAGAAAAAAUUUGAAAUUUUAUAGUGAAUUAGUAUUGUGGGAGAUUUUUGAAAUAGUUUAAAUAAAAAUUUUUAUAAAAGUAGUUUUUAUUUAAUUUAUCUUGUGUAUCAGAGUUUAUUAAUAAUUUUUUAUUUUAUAAAUUUCUCGAAUUUAAAAGGGAUAAUUAAUUAAUAAAGUUAUUGUGGCAAUAAUAUUUUUAAUAGUUAAUUAGAAAUGAAAUGUUAAUCGUUUUUAAAUAUAUCUAGUUUUUUUAGAAAAAAAUUUAAUUUUAAAUUUAAAUUUAAAAUUUAUUUAUUAAUAAAUAAAUUUUAAAUUUAAAUUUUAUAUUUUAGGGGAUAAGCUUUAAAUUAAAUUUAUAUAAUUAAAUGGGGGGUUUAAUUUAAAAUUUUAUUAUUUAAAUUGUAAAUGAAUUUUAAUUUAUUAUAAAUAAUUUAAUUAAUUUAAGAUUUAAUUUAAUUUAUAUUUUUAUAAAAAGGUAAUUUUUAAUAAUAAUAAUUUAAUAAUAAUGAUAAAAUUAGUAUAUAGAUUUUUGUUAGUAAAUGAAUAACUAAUUAAAAUUAAUAUAAAAGAAUUCGGCAAAAUUUUAUACUCACUUGUUUAUCAAAAACAUGUCUUUUUGUUAUAAUUUAAAGUCUAAUCUGCCCACUGAUAAAUAUUAAAGGGCUGCAGUAUUUUGACUGUACAAAGGUAGCAUAAUCAUUAGUCAUUUAAUUGGUGACUUGUAUGAAGGAUUGGAUGAGGUAUAUACUGUUUCUAUAUUAUAUUGUAGAAUUUAAUUUUUCAAUUAAAAAGUUGGGAUAUUUUAAAAAGACGAGAAGACCCUAUAGAGUUUUAUAUAGAUUUUAAUUAAUAUUUAUUUAUAAAAUUAAAAAAGGAAUUGAUUUUUAUAUUUUGUUGGGGUGACAAAAAAAUAAAAUUAACUUUUUUUACUAGAUAUACAUAAAUAAGUGAUUAUAUGAUCCAAUAUUAUUGAUUAUAAGAAAAAAUUACCUUAGGGAUAACAGCGUAAUUUUUUUUUUUAGUUCAUAUAAAAAGAAGAGUUUGCGACCUCGAUGUUGGAUUAAGAUAAAAUUUAAAUGUAGAAGUUUAAAGUUUUGAUCUGUUCGAUCAUUAAAAUCUUACAUGAUCUGAGUUCAAACCGGUGUGAGCCAGGUUGGUUUCUAUCUUUUAAUAAUAAAUAUAUUUUAGUACGAAAGGAAUUAAUAUCUAAAUUAAAUUUAAUAUUUUGAAUAUUAUUAAAAAUAUUUAUAAAUUUAUAUAACUUAAAUUUGUUCAAUAGCUAAGACU